RNAcentral lists this ribosomal RNA (760 nucleotides) under uncultured bacterium. RNAcentral describes it as "bacterial SSU rRNA". It matches the Rfam family "Bacterial small subunit ribosomal RNA", at positions 8 to 772 of the family's 1533-position model. The record is from RNAcentral.
AGAGUUUGAUCCUGGCUCAGGAUGAACGCUGGCGGCGUGCCUAACACAUGCAAGUCGAGCGAUUCUCUUCGGAGAAGAGCGGCGGACGGGUGAGUAACGCGUGGGUAACCUGCCCUGUACACACGGAUAACAUACCGAAAGGUAUGCUAAUACGAGAUAAUAUGCUUUUAUCGCAUGGUAGAAGUAUCAAAGCUCCGGCGGUACAGGAUGGACCCGCGUCUGAUUAGCUAGUUGGUAAGGUAACGGCUUACCAAGGCGACGAUCAGUAGCCGACCUGAGAGGACGACCAGCCACACUGGGACUGAGACACGGCCCAGACUCCUACGGGAGGCAGCAGUGGGGAAUUUUGGACAAUGGGGGCAACCCUGAUCCAGCCAUCCCGCGUGUGCGAUGAAGGCCUUCGGGUUGUAAAGCACUUUUGGCAGGGAAGAAAAGGCGCUGGCUAAUACCUGGCGCUGCUGACGGUACCUGCAGAAUAAGCACCGGCUAACUACGUGCCAGCAGCCGCGGUAAUACGUAGGGUGCAAGCGUUAAUCGGAAUUACUGGGCGUAAAGCGUGCGCAGGCGGUUCGGCAAGAAGGAUGUGAAAUCCCGGGGCUUAACCUCGGAACUGCAUUCUUAACUGCCGGGCUAGAGUAUGUCAGAGGGGGGUAGAAUUCCGCGUGUAGCAGUGAAAUGCGUAGAUAUGCGGAGGAAUACCGAUGGCGAAGGCAGCCCCCUGGGAUAUACUGACGCUCAUGCACGAAAGCGUGGUAGCAAA